This 185-nucleotide ribosomal RNA is filed under the name uncultured bacterium. Its description in RNAcentral is "partial 16S ribosomal RNA". It matches the Rfam family "Bacterial small subunit ribosomal RNA", at positions 1316 to 1500 of the family's 1533-position model. The record is from RNAcentral.
CUGCAUGAAGCUGGAAUCGCUAGUAAUCGCGGAUCAGAAUGCCGCGGUGAAUACGUUCCCGGGUCUUGUACACACCGCCCGUCACACCAUGGGAGUCGGAAAUGCCCGAAGCCGGUGGCCCAACCGAGAGGAGGGAGCCGUCGAAGGCAGGUUGGAUGACUGGGGUGAAGUCGUAACAAGGUAUC